Molecule: ribosomal RNA, 440 nt
Filed under: uncultured bacterium
Lineage: Bacteria
Description: partial 16S ribosomal RNA
Rfam family: Bacterial small subunit ribosomal RNA
Source: RNAcentral
CCUACGUGUGGCAGCAGUGGGGGAUAUUGCACAAUGGGGGAAACCCUGAUGCAGCGACGCCGCGUGUGGGAAGACGGCCCUCUGGAUUGUAAACCACUGUCCCCAGGGACGAAGAUGACGGAACCUGGGGAGGAAGCUACGGCGAACUCCGGGCCAGCAGCCGCGGUAAUAUGGAGGGAGCGAGCGUUGUCCGGAAUUACCGGGUGUAAGGGGAGGGUAGGCGGGACUGCAAGUUGGUUGUCAAAUCUACCGGCUCAACCGGUAGCCGCACUCAAAACUGCAGUUCUUGAGUGAAGUAGAGGCAGGCGGAAUUCCUGGUGUAGCGGUGAAAUGCGUAGAUAUUAGGAAGAACACCAGUGGCGAAGGCGGCCUGCUGGGCUUUUACUGACGCUGAGGCUCGAAAGUGUGGGGAGCAAACAGGAUUAGAUACCCCAGUAGUC